GGGGGGAUAGCGUAGUGGUAAAGCGCCUAGUAUUCCUCUACCGUAGUAGAGGUUAAAGGUUCGAAUUCUUCUCUCCUUA
This 79-nucleotide transfer RNA is filed under the name Pyrenophora teres f. teres 0-1. RNAcentral's name for it is "tRNA-Gly (ACC) (tRNA-Gly-ACC-1-1)". Lineage: Eukaryota; Fungi; Ascomycota; Dothideomycetes; Pleosporales; Pleosporaceae. The record is from RNAcentral.